Molecule: ribosomal RNA, 216 nt
Filed under: uncultured Glomus
Lineage: Eukaryota; Fungi; Glomeromycota; Glomeromycetes; Glomerales; Glomeraceae
Description: partial 25S ribosomal RNA
Rfam family: Eukaryotic large subunit ribosomal RNA
Source: RNAcentral
UGAAAAGAACUUUGAAAAGAGAGUUAAACAGUACGUGAAAUUGUUGAAAGGGAAACGAUUGAAGUCAGUCAUACCAACGGGAAAUCAACCUUUUGAGCUUGGUCUCGUGGGUUUUGAAGAGUUUCAAAGCCUUCGGAUUCGCGGGAUUGGGAUCUCUUGGUGUACUUUUUCGUACGGUUAGUCAACAUCGGUUUUGAAUGUCAUAAAAUGACUGGA